Molecule: ribosomal RNA, 484 nt
Filed under: uncultured bacterium
Lineage: Bacteria
Description: partial 16S ribosomal RNA
Rfam family: Bacterial small subunit ribosomal RNA
Source: RNAcentral
AUUGAACGCUGGCGGCAGGCCUAACACAUGCAAGUCGAGCGGAUGAAGGGAGCUUGCUCCUGGAUUCAGCGGCGGACGGGUGAGUAAUGCCUAGGAAUCUGCCUGGUAGUGGGGGAUAACGUCCGGAAACGGGCGCUAAUACCGCAUACGUCCUGAGGGAGAAAGUGGGGGAUCUUCGGACCUCACGCUAUCAGAUGAGCCUAGGUCGGAUUAGCUAGUUGGUGGGGUAAAGGCCUACCAAGGCGACGAUCCGUAACUGGUCUGAGAGGAUGAUCAGUCACACUGGAACUGAGACACGGUCCAGACUCCUACGGGAGGCAGCAGUGGGGAAUAUUGGACAAUGGGCGAAAGCCUGAUCCAGCCAUGCCGCGUGUGUGAAGAAGGUCUUCGGAUUGUAAAGCACUUUAAGUUGGGAGGAAAAGCAGUAAGUUAAUACCUUGCUGUUUUGACGUUACCAACAGAAUAAGCACCGGCUAACUUCGUG